This 292-nucleotide ribosomal RNA is filed under the name uncultured bacterium. RNAcentral's name for it is "partial 16S ribosomal RNA". It matches the Rfam family "Bacterial small subunit ribosomal RNA", at positions 505 to 796 of the family's 1533-position model. The record is from RNAcentral.
GUGUCAGCAGCCGCGGUAAUACGAAGGGUGCAAGCGUUACUCGGAAUUACUGGGCGUAAAGCGUGCGUAGGUGGUUCGUUAAGUCCGAUGUGAAAGCCCUGGGCUCAACCUGGGAAUGGCAUUGGAUACUGGCGGGCUAGAGUGCGGUAGAGGAUGGCGGAAUUCCCGGUGUAGCAGUGAAAUGCGUAGAGAUCGGGAGGAACAUCUGUGGCGAAGGCGACUGCCUGGACCAGCACUGACACUGAGGCACGAAAGCGUGGGGAGCAAACAGGAUUAGAUACCCUAGUAGUCC